AGAUUGAACGCUAGCGGGAUGCUUUACACAUGCAAGUCGAACGGCAGCGCGGACUUCGGUCUGGCGGCGAGUGGCGAACGGGUGAGUAAUAUAUCGGAACGUGCCCAGUAGCGGGGGAUAACUACGCGAAAGCGUGGCUAAUACCGCAUACGCCCUACGGGGGAAAGGGGGGGAUCGCAAGACCUCUCACUAUUGGAGCGGCCGAUAUCAGAUUAGCUAGUUGGUGAGGUAAAGGCUCACCAAGGCGACGAUCUGUAGCUGGUUUGAGAGGACGACCAGCCACACUGGGACUGAGACACGGCCCAGACUCCUACGGGAGGCAGCAGUGGGGAAUUUUGGACAAUGGGCGAAAGCCUGACGCAGCCAUGCCGCGUGUAUGAUGAAGGUCUUAGGAUUGUAAAAUACUUUACACCGGUGAAGAUAAUGACUGUAGCCGGAGAAGAAGCCCCGACUAACUUCGUGCCAGCAGCCGCGU
RNAcentral lists this ribosomal RNA (475 nucleotides) under uncultured soil bacterium. RNAcentral describes it as "bacterial SSU rRNA". It matches the Rfam family "Bacterial small subunit ribosomal RNA", at positions 26 to 520 of the family's 1533-position model. The record is from RNAcentral.